AGCGAGACUGCCGGUAAUAAACCGGAGGAAGGUGGGGAUGACGUCAAAUCAUCAUGCCCCUUAUGACCUGGGCUACACACGUGCUACAAUGGUUGGUACAACGAGUUGCGAGUCGGUGACGGCGAGCUAAUCUCUUAAAGCCAAUCUCAGUUCGGAUUGUAGGCUGCAACUCGCCUACAUGAAGUCGGAAUCGCUAGUAAUCGCCGGAUCAGCACGCCGCGGUGAAUACGGUUCCCGGGCCUU
RNAcentral lists this ribosomal RNA (243 nucleotides) under uncultured Streptococcus sp. RNAcentral's name for it is "partial 16S ribosomal RNA". It matches the Rfam family "Bacterial small subunit ribosomal RNA", at positions 1142 to 1382 of the family's 1533-position model. Lineage: Bacteria; Bacillati; Bacillota; Bacilli; Lactobacillales; Streptococcaceae. The record is from RNAcentral.